RNAcentral lists this long non-coding RNA (203 nucleotides) under Mytilus galloprovincialis (Mediterranean mussel). Lineage: Eukaryota; Metazoa; Mollusca; Bivalvia; Mytilida; Mytilidae. The record is from RNAcentral.
AAAAGCGGUAAAAUAUCUUCCCUCAAAACAACGUUAUUUAAGCUUAUUAACUAAAUAAUUCCAAUCAAUAGACAAUGAAACUGUGAACAACAAUCAUCAUGCUCAGGGGAAGGUGACAAUUGUAUUUAAUUUACAUUUAAUCGAUCUUAUUUGUAUGAUACAACCAAUCACCCAAAAUAAAACGUAAACAUGAAUAAACCAGA